ACAAACCUCGUAAGUGACGUCACUCGCCGAGUGGCUGCACUUCAACUUGAUCAUCAAAUGUGGAGCAAAACGCUCUGUGAGCAACAGGGGCCAGACUUUGAUCUUAGCAAAAAAGAAGUAAAUGAAUACAAACUGGUGGAAACCCACACACCAAGAUGCUGUAAAGAGCUCUGGGUGGGACCUCACCCUAUGAAGAGGGCACACGAGGGCCUUUGCUGUGACCUGUGGCCACGACUGCCGCUCUUCCGUGUUCCCAGCAAGGGAGGGGAAGAGGAUGACGUUGUAAGAUGCUGUAUUCUCGAGAGAUGAGGAUGUUCUCAUCUUCGGUCCACGUUCUCUACUGAAGACAGCAAGAUGCCCCAGACAGUGAUUGUGUCCCGAGGGACUAACUAAAGGGCGGAAAGAACCCAGUAAGUGCCAGUGGGGAAGCAGCGAAUGGGAGUUAGUCAUGACUGAGAGCUUUUGACGCCAAAGCCUGGCCAGGCUGUUGGACUUGGGGCUUCCCUGGGCAGAAACACAGGUUGAGUUGGAACUUUAGUCACUGACAAGGUGUUCAAUAUUUUUGCCCUUAUUUGAGUGUUUUUUUUUUUUUUUCAAAAUGCUGAUCAUAGCUUAGCUAUAACAGAUACGACUUGGUGAUGGUUUGAGAAUAAAAUAUCCCCCAGCUUUA
Long non-coding RNA from Jaculus jaculus (lesser Egyptian jerboa), 670 nucleotides. RefSeq lists it as uncharacterized. The transcript is spliced from 2 exons. The record is from RefSeq and is a predicted model, not a curated record. NCBI's taxonomy places the organism in Eukaryota, Metazoa, Chordata, Mammalia, Rodentia, Dipodidae.